CCUACGGGAGGCAGCAGUGGGGAAUUUUGGACAAUGGGGGCAAGCCUGAUCCAGCCAUGCCGCGUGCGGGAAGAAGGCCUUCGGGUUGUAAAGCUCUUUCGUCCGGGAAGAAAUCGUUUUUUUUAAUACGUGGGGGGGAUGACGGUACCGGAAGAAGAAGCACCGGCUAACUACGUGCCAGCAGCCGCGGUAAUACGUAGGGUGCGAGCGUUAAUCGGAAUUACUGGGCGUAAAGCGUGCGCAGGCGGUUUUGUAAGACAGAUGUGAAAUCCCCGGGCUUAACCUGGGAACUGCAUUUGGGACUGCAAGGCUAGAGUGCGGCAGAGGGGGAUAGAAUUCCGCGUGUAGCAGUGAAAUGCGUAGAUAUGCGGAGGAACACCGAUGGCGAAGGCAGCCCCCUGGGCUAACACUGACGCUCAUGCACGAAAGCGUGGGGAGCAAACAGGAUUAGAUACCCUGGUAGUCCACGCCCUAAACGAUGUCAACUGGUUGUCGGAGGGGAGAUUCCUCAGUAACGCAGCUAACGCGUGAAGUGACCGCCU
Molecule: ribosomal RNA, 542 nt
Filed under: uncultured bacterium
Lineage: Bacteria
Description: bacterial SSU rRNA
Rfam family: Bacterial small subunit ribosomal RNA
Source: RNAcentral